RNAcentral lists this ribosomal RNA (403 nucleotides) under uncultured bacterium. RNAcentral describes it as "bacterial SSU rRNA". It matches the Rfam family "Bacterial small subunit ribosomal RNA", at positions 353 to 772 of the family's 1533-position model. The record is from RNAcentral.
AGUGGGGAAUCUUGGACAAUGGGCGAAAGCCUGAUCCAGCGACGCCGCGUGGGUGAUGAAGGCCUUCGGGUUGUAAAGCCCUUUCGACGGGGACGAUGAUGACGGUACCCGGCGAAGAAGCACCGGCUAACUCCGUGCCAGCAGCCGCGGUAAGACGGAGGGUGCUAGCGUUGUUCGGAAUCACUGGGCGUAAAGGGCGCGUAGGCGGCCAGGCAAGUCGGCUUGUGAAAGCCCGGGGCUCAACCCCGGAGGUGCGGCCGGGACUGCUUGGCUGGAGGCCGGAAGAGGAGGGUGGAAUACCCAGUGUAGAGGUGAAAUUCGUAGAUAUUGGGUGGAACACCGGUGGCGAAAGCGGCUCUCUGGUCCGGUCCUGACGCUGAGGCGCGAAAGCGUGGGGAGCAAA